This 253-nucleotide ribosomal RNA is filed under the name uncultured bacterium. Its description in RNAcentral is "partial 16S ribosomal RNA". It matches the Rfam family "Bacterial small subunit ribosomal RNA", at positions 524 to 776 of the family's 1533-position model. The record is from RNAcentral.
UACAGGGGGGGCAAGCGUUGUUCGGAAUUACUGGGCGUAAAGGGCGCGUAGGCGGCCUGCUAAGUCGGACGUGAAAUCCCUCGGCUCAACCGGGGAACUGCGUCCGAUACUGGUGGGCUCGAAUCCGGGAGAGGGAUGUGGAAUUCCAGGUGUAGCGGUGAAAUGCGUAGAUAUCUGGAGGAACACCGGUGGCGAAGGCGGCAUCCUGGACCGGUAUUGACGCUGAUGCGCGAAAGCCAGGGGAGCAAACGGG